Molecule: ribosomal RNA, 460 nt
Filed under: uncultured bacterium
Lineage: Bacteria
Description: partial 16S ribosomal RNA
Rfam family: Bacterial small subunit ribosomal RNA
Source: RNAcentral
CCUACGGGUGGCAGCAGUGAGGAAUAUUGGUCAAUGGUCGGGAGACUGAACCAGCCAAGCCGCGUGAGGGAGGAAGGUACAGAGUAUCGUAAACCUCUUUUGUCAGGGAACAAAGACUGGGACGCGUCCCCGGAUGAGUGUACCUGAAGAAAAAGCAUCGGCUAACUCCGUGCCAGCAGCCGCGGUAAUACGGAGGAUGCGAGCGUUAUCCGGAUUUAUUGGGUUUAAAGGGUGCGCAGGCGGUCUGUUAAGUCAGCGGUUAAAGGCCGGGGCGCAACCCCAGCCCCGCAGUUGAAACUGGCAGUCUCGAGUUGGAUAGAAGUAGGCGGAAUGCGCGGUGUAGCGGUGAAAUGCAUAGAUAUCGCGCAGAACUCCGAUUGCGAAGGCAGCAUGCCGGCUCCACACUGACGCUGAGGCACGAAAGCGUGGGUAUCGAACAGGAUUAGAUACCCAUGUAGUC